UUGCGGUUAAAAAGCUCGUAGUUGGAUUUCUGUUGAGGACGGCCGGUCCGCACUAUGUGCGUGUAUCUGGUUCGGCCUUGGCAUCCUCUUGAGGAACGUAUCUACGCUUGAUUGCGUGGAGCGGUAUUCAAGACUUUUACUUUGAGGAAAUUAGAGUGUUCACGGCAGGCAAGCGCCUUGAAUACAUUAGCAUGGAAUAAUAAUAUAGGAUCUUGGUUCUAUUUUGUUGGUUUCUAGAGCUAAGGUAGUGAUUAAUAGGGAUAAUUGGGGGCAUUUGUAUUAACGCGUCAGAGGUGGAAUUCUUGGAUUGCGUUACGACAAACCACUGCGAAAGCAUUUGCCAAGGAUGUUUUCAUUGAUCAAGAACGAAAGUAUGGGGAUCGAAGAUGAUUAGAUACCGUUGUAGUCUAUACCAUAAACUAUGCCGACUAGGGAUUGGAGGUCGUUCUUUUUAUGACUCCUUCAGCACCUUAUGAGAAAUCAAAGUCUUUGGGUUCCGGGGGGAGUAUAGUCGCAAGGCUGAAACUUAAAGGAAU
This 536-nucleotide ribosomal RNA is filed under the name uncultured marine eukaryote. RNAcentral describes it as "SSU rRNA". It matches the Rfam family "Eukaryotic small subunit ribosomal RNA", at positions 613 to 1153 of the family's 1831-position model. The record is from RNAcentral.